GCUUUUCCUGAUACCCGAUUUGGUUAACGUAUUGUUAACCAAAAGCCAGACUGCGCGGAAUAUUGUUGGCAAGUGUAAUUUUCGGCUGCUGUCAAGUCAAGUAGGCCUACUCAUCAAGUGUCAUGUUGUUUGAAAUUGUGUUCAGUUGCAUUACAGUUUCAAUUGUUCACAAGAAGUAUUUGAUAAAGUCUUACAUUGGAAGUAACCGAAGGUGGAUUUUGGGAUAUUGGCAAUUGAAUGGCCAGACAAUUGAGUCUGGUGAACAUGUUGGCAAUCGAAAGUCUGCUUUCAAGCAAACGUGCAUGAGGUGUACAUUUAUAGCUGUUCAAACAACAUGUCUACUAUGACUGUCAUGACUCCCAAACUUGUCGUGUUCACCAUUGAUGUUAGAGAGCCUAUUGCUGAACUCUACUCAGAUGCAGCGAAUGGAAAUAACAACAAAUUCCAGGGCUUCGAACCACGACUGCUAAAGUCAGGUGUAUUAUCUCAAGAACUAUUCCGUCAGAAAGCUAGGUCUUCAAGUCGGAAGAGCUAAUUGUUUGAUUUAAGAGAAAAUCCAUUUAAAAAAUAAUUGUGACUCUUUCUUGUAUGAGUAAAAGUAGUUUAAAUAAACACGAAAUUUGACCAGCAUCA
Long non-coding RNA from Daphnia pulex (common water flea), 633 nucleotides. RefSeq lists it as uncharacterized. The record is from RefSeq and is a predicted model, not a curated record. NCBI's taxonomy places the organism in Eukaryota, Metazoa, Arthropoda, Branchiopoda, Diplostraca, Daphniidae. The transcript has 3 exons.